CAUAGGUUAAUGAGGCGAACCGGGGGAACUGAAACAUCUAAGUACCCCGAGGAAAAGAAAUCAACCGAGAUUCCCCCAGUAGCGGCGAGCGAACGGGGAGCAGCCCAGAGCCUGAAUCAGUAUGUGUGUUAGUGGAAGCGUCUGGAAAGGCGCGCGAUACAGGGUGACAGCCCCGUACACAAAAAUGCACAUGCUGUGAGCUCGAUGAGUAGGGCGGGACACGUGGUAUCCUGUCUGAAUAUGGGGGGACCAUCCUCCAAGGCUAAAUACUCCUGACUGACCGAUAGUGAACCAGUACCGUGAGGGAAAGGCGAAAAGAACCCCGGCGAGGGGAGUGAAAAAGAACCUGAAACCGUGUACGUACAAGCAGUGGGAGCACGCUUAGGCGUGUGACUGCGUACCUUUUGUAUAAUGGGUCAGCGACUUAUAUUCUGUAGCAAGGUUAACCGAAUAGGGGAGCCGAAGGGAAACCGAGUCUUAACUGGGCGUUAAGUUGCAGGGUAUAGACCCGAAACCCGGUGAUCUAGCCAUGGGCAGGUUGAAGGUUGGGUAACACUAACUGGAGGACCGAACCGACUAAUGUUGAAAAAUUAGCGGAUGACUUGUGGCUGGGGGUGAAAGGCCAAUCAAACCGGGAGAUAGCUGGUUCUCCCCGAAAGCUAUUUAGGUAGCGCCUCGUGAAUUCAUCUCCGGGGGUAGAGCACUGUUUCGGCAAGGGGGUCAUCCCGACUUACCAACCCGAUGCAAACUGCGAAUACCGGAGAAUGUUAUCACGGGAGACACACGGCGGGUGCUAACGUCCGUCGUGAAGAGGGAAACAACCCAGACCGCCAGCUAAGGUCCCAAAGUCAUGGUUAAGUGGGAAACGAUGUGGGAAGGCCCAGACAGCCAGGAUGUUGGCUUAGAAGCAGCCAUCAUUUAAAGAAAGCGUAAUAGCUCACUGGUCGAGUCGGCCUGCGCGGAAGAUGUAACGGGGCUAAACCAUGCACCGAAGCUGCGGCAGCGACGCUGAUGCGUUGUUGGGUAGGGGAGCGUUCUGUAAGCCUGCGAAGGUGUGCUGUGAGGCAUGCUGGAGGUAUCAGAAGUGCGAAUGCUGACAUAAGUAACGAUAAAGCGGGUGAAAAGCCCGCUCGCCGGAAGACCAAGGGUUCCUGUCCAACGUUAAUCGGGGCAGGGUGAGUCGACCCCUAAGGCGAGGCCGAAAGGCGUAGUCGAUGGGAAACAGGUUAAUAUUCCUGUACUUGGUGUUACUGCGAAGGGGGGACGGAGAAGGCUAUGUUGGCCGGGCGACGGUUGUCCCGGUUUAAGCGUGUAGGCUGGUUUUCCAGGCAAAUCCGGAAAAUCAAGGCUGAGGCGUGAUGACGAGGCACUGCGGUGCUGAAGCAACAAA
Molecule: ribosomal RNA, 1390 nt
Filed under: Escherichia coli
Lineage: Bacteria; Pseudomonadati; Pseudomonadota; Gammaproteobacteria; Enterobacterales; Enterobacteriaceae
Description: partial 23S ribosomal RNA
Rfam family: Bacterial large subunit ribosomal RNA
Source: RNAcentral